UGGGGAAUUUUGGACAAUGGGGGCAACCCUGAUCCAGCCAUGCCGCGUGAGUGAAGAAGGCCUUCGGGUUGUAAAGCUCUUUCGGUGGGAACGAAACGGAUGCGGCCAACACCUGCAUUCAAUGACGGUACUCACAGAAGAAGCACCGGCUAACUACGUGCCAGCAGCCGCGGUAAUACGUAGGGUGCGAGCGUUAAUCGGAAUUACUGGGCGUAAAGCGUGCGCAGGCGGUUUCACAAGCUCGAUGUGAAAGCCCCGGGGCUUAACCUGGGAAUUGCAUUGAGGACUGUGGAGCUAGAGUGCGGCAGAGGGAGGUGGAAUUCCACGUGUAGCAGUGAAAUGCGUAGAGAUGUGGAGGAACACCGAUGGCGAAGGCAGCCUCCUGGGCCGACACUGACGCUC
Molecule: ribosomal RNA, 402 nt
Filed under: uncultured bacterium
Lineage: Bacteria
Description: bacterial SSU rRNA
Rfam family: Bacterial small subunit ribosomal RNA
Source: RNAcentral